GCUGAUUGGCAUUCUGGGUCUGGCUCAUAUCAAGUCUGUUAUGAACUAUACCAGGAUGUCAGUAUAGCUG
This 70-nucleotide microRNA precursor is filed under the name Nannospalax galili (Upper Galilee mountains blind mole rat). RNAcentral's name for it is "miRNA (ENSNGAG00000004759.1)". Lineage: Eukaryota; Metazoa; Chordata; Mammalia; Rodentia; Spalacidae. The record is from RNAcentral.